AAGUAAUGAAGUAUAAAUACAUUUAGUUUCGACCUAAAGAAAGAAAAUUGUUUUUCCUUACUUA
Molecule: transfer RNA, 64 nt
Filed under: Platypedia putnami
Lineage: Eukaryota; Metazoa; Arthropoda; Insecta; Hemiptera; Cicadidae
Description: tRNA-Arg
Source: RNAcentral